AGGGAUCAUUACCGAGUUCAUGCCCUUACGGGUAGACCUCCCACCCUAUGUUAUUCUACCUUUGUUGCUUUGGCGGGCCGCCCGGCUUCGGCCAGGCUACCGGCUCCAGCUGGUAAGCGCUCGCCAGAGGACCCUCAACUCUGAAUAUCAGUGUCGUCCGAGUACUAUAAAAUAGUUAAAACUUUCAACAACGGAUCUCUUGGUUCUGGCAUCGAUGAAGAACGCAGCGAAAUGCGAUAAGUAAUGUGAAUUGCAGAAUUCAGUGAAUCAUCGAAUCUUUGAACGCACAUUGCGCCCCUUGGUAUUCCGAGGGGCAUGCCUGUUCGAGCGUCAUUACAACCCUCAAGCACUGCUUGGUAUUGGGCUCCGCUGGCUCCAGCGGGCCUUAAAAUCAGUGGCGGCGCCGUUUGGGCUCUGAGCGUAGUAAAUAUCCUCGCUAUAGAGACCAGGCGGUUCUUGUCAUCAACCCCCAACUUUCUAAGUUUGACCUCGGAUCAGGUAGGGAUACCCGCUGAACUUAA
RNAcentral lists this unclassified non-coding RNA (521 nucleotides) under Helotiales sp. 1 KO-2013. RNAcentral's name for it is "partial contains ITS1, 5.8S rRNA and ITS2". The stretch from base 180 to 333 matches the Rfam family "5.8S ribosomal RNA". Lineage: Eukaryota; Fungi; Ascomycota; Leotiomycetes; Helotiales. The record is from RNAcentral.